Molecule: ribosomal RNA, 460 nt
Filed under: uncultured bacterium
Lineage: Bacteria
Description: partial 16S ribosomal RNA
Rfam family: Bacterial small subunit ribosomal RNA
Source: RNAcentral
UCUACGGGAGGCAGCAGUGAGGAAUAUUGGUCAAUGGGCGGAAGCCUUAACCAGCCAAGUCGCGUGAGGGAAUAAGGUCCUACGGGUCGUAAACCUCUUUUGCCGGGGAGCUAGUGCCGGGACGUGUCCCGGCCCGGAGAGUACCCGGAGUAAAAGCAUCGGCUAACAUCGGGCCAGCGCCCGCGGUAAUACGGGGGAUGCGAUGGUUAUCCGGAUUUAUUGGGGUAACAGGGUGCGUAGGGGGGCGUUUAAGUCAGCGGUAAAAAUUCGGGUGUCAACCACGUCCUGCAGUUGAAACUGGGAGCCUUGAGUGGACGAGAGGAAGGCGGAAUUCGUGGUGUAGCGGUGAAAUGCGUAGAUAUCACGCAGAACCCCAGUGGCGAAGGCAGUCUUCCGGCGCUCUACUGACGCUGAGGCACGAAAGUGCGGGGAGCGAACAGGAUUAGAUACCCUUGUAGUC